This 130-nucleotide small nuclear RNA is filed under the name Larimichthys crocea (large yellow croaker). RNAcentral's name for it is "U1 spliceosomal RNA (ENSLCRG00005017987.1)". It matches the Rfam family "U1 spliceosomal RNA". Rfam says of the family: U1 is a small nuclear RNA (snRNA) component of the spliceosome (involved in pre-mRNA splicing). Its 5' end forms complementary base pairs with the 5' splice junction, thus defining the 5' donor site of an intron. Lineage: Eukaryota; Metazoa; Chordata; Actinopteri; Sciaenidae. The record is from RNAcentral.
UUACUUACCUGACAGGGGAGAUACUAUGAUCAAGAAAGUGUGGGACUCUGCCAUUGCUCUCCAUUGGUGCUAUGGGAAUCUUGACUGCAUAAUUUCUGUUAGUGGUGGACUGUUUUUGCGCUCAUCCGUU